This 494-nucleotide ribosomal RNA is filed under the name uncultured bacterium. RNAcentral's name for it is "partial 16S ribosomal RNA". It matches the Rfam family "Bacterial small subunit ribosomal RNA", at positions 28 to 506 of the family's 1533-position model. The record is from RNAcentral.
GAUGAACGCUGGCGGCGUGCCUAAUACAUGCAAGUCGAGCGAACAGACGAGGAGCUUGCUCCUCUGACGUUAGCGGCGGACGGGUGAGUAACACGUGGAUAACCUACCUAUAAGACUGGGAUAACUUCGGGAAACCGGAGCUAAUACCGGAUAAUAUAUUGAACCGCAUGGUUCAAUAGUGAAAGACGGUUUUGCUGUCACUUAUAGAUGGAUCCGCGCCGCAUUAGCUAGUUGGUAAGGUAACGGCUUACCAAGGCAACGAUGCGUAGCCGACCUGAGAGGGAUCAGGCGCACAAGGAAUGAGACACAUGGCCAAGACUCAUGGGGGGCGGAGCAGUGGGAACUUUCCCAAUGGGCGGGAGACUGUCACGGGACAGCGCCGCGAGAGAGGUGGGGUUUCUGGGCUCAUAACACUGUUAUAAGGGGAAAAAAAAAGUGUGUGAGUAUCUACACGCCUUUAGAGGAUCCAAUGAAAGAACCCCACGUAAAACCGC